RNAcentral lists this ribosomal RNA (475 nucleotides) under uncultured bacterium. Its description in RNAcentral is "partial 16S ribosomal RNA". It matches the Rfam family "Bacterial small subunit ribosomal RNA", at positions 28 to 507 of the family's 1533-position model. The record is from RNAcentral.
GAUGAACGCUAGCGGCAGGCCUAACACAUGCAAGUCGAGGGAUAAGCCUUCGGGCUACGACCGGCGCACUGGUGCGUAACGCGUAUACAAUCUGCCUUUUAUCCGGGGGAUAGCCCGAAGAUAUUUGGAUUAAUACCCUAUGGUAUAAGAACACGGUAUCGUGCACUUAUUAACGCUACGGCGGUAAAAGCUGAGUAUGCGUUCUAUUAGCUAGUUGGAGAGGUCACGGCUCCCCAAGGCUACGAUAGAUAGGUGUUCGGAGAGUGAGGUCCCCCACACCGGAACUGAGAUACAGACUCGUCUCCUAGGGGAGGCAGCAGUGCGGUAUACAGGACGAGGAUCGGAAGACUGAUCCAGCCAUGCCGCGUGCAGGAUGACGGCGUUAUGGGUUGUAAGCUGCUUUUGUAAGGGAAGAAUAAGGGGUACGUGUACUGUGAUGACGGUACCUAACGAAUAAGCAACGGCUAACUCCGUG